Molecule: ribosomal RNA, 449 nt
Filed under: Saponaria officinalis (common soapwort)
Lineage: Eukaryota; Viridiplantae; Streptophyta; Magnoliopsida; Caryophyllales; Caryophyllaceae
Description: eukaryotic LSU rRNA
Rfam family: Eukaryotic large subunit ribosomal RNA (bases 309-449)
Source: RNAcentral
UGCAGAAUCCCGUGAACCAUCGAGUCUUUGAACGCAAGUUGCGCCCGAAGCCUAUGGCUGAGGGCACGUCUGCCUGGGCGUCACGCAUCGCGUCUCCCCUACAAAUCACCUUGAUUUUGGGGGAAGGAGGAUGGCUUCCCGCGCCUCACCGGGCGCGGCUGGCCUAAACUCGGAGCCAACGGCACGGAGCUGCUGCGGCGACUGGUGGUGAACAAGGCCUCGGCCGCGCAAACAACCCGCUGUGGAAGCCCGCGCUAAUUUGGACUCGUCGGACCCUUGGACGGUGCUUCUAGCACCGCAAACCUUUGCGACCCCAGGUCAGGCGGGGCUACCCGCUGAAUUUAAGCAUAUCAAUAAGCGGAGGAAAAGAAACUUACGAGGAUUCCCCUAGUAACGGCGAGCGAACCGGGAACAGCCCAGCUUUAAAAUCGAGCGGCCUCGCUGCUCGA